Long non-coding RNA from Hipposideros armiger (great roundleaf bat), 1165 nucleotides. RefSeq lists it as uncharacterized. The record is from RefSeq and is a predicted model, not a curated record. The transcript has 2 exons. NCBI's taxonomy places the organism in Eukaryota, Metazoa, Chordata, Mammalia, Chiroptera, Hipposideridae.
GCCAGCCGACGUGGGGAGGCGUAGCGCCGUGACGUGGCCGCUGCGGAUUGGCGGGGCGUGCUUGCCGGGGAACGGAGGAGCAGUGGAGCUGUGGAACCGCGCCGCGGCAGACAUGCAGCGUCUGUGUUGGGGAGUCUGUUGAAGCUGCGUGAAGUGUAAUCGACAUUGCAGAGAGCUUGGGUAGCACGGGGCCAGUGGCGCAAUGGAUAACGCGUCUGACUACGGAUCAGAAGAUUCUAGGUUCGACUCCUGGCUGGCUCGCUGCGCACUUUUUGCCAUGUCUGGGUCUGAUGUUCCAGGCACUUGUUGGGAAAGACUAACUAAGAUGCCUGUCUCCAAGACCUGAGAAGUCCCGAAACAUCUGCUACGGAGAGUGGACUCGAAUCCGGGGAGUGGCUGAGACAUCGAACGCCAUCCAUUAACGAGUCACUCAAUCGAUCAAUUAACCUCUCCAAUAUAACGUGUUUUCCUCCUAAGGAAAUUAUAGAAAAUUUGUAAAAUAAUUAUAUAGAAAACUAUUGGGAAUAAAAAUAAUGCGAAUUCUCAUGCCGAGAUCAUUACUAACAUGAUUUUUUUCCCCUUACAUACUUUCAUUUUCUUACUUUUUGAUAUGGAUCUACCUACACAUGUAUUUUUCCGAAUUGGGGGUUGUACCAGAAAUGUUUUUGUGUUCUCAUUUUGUCCCCUUAGCUUUUUGCCUGAGAUUUAAGGUCAUUAAAUAUUCUUUGACGGUAUCUCAUUAGAGAACUAGAUAUUUUAAGCAUUACUCUUUUUGUUGGCAAUUUGGGUUGUCAUUUAACACUUUAAAAAUAAUGCUGUGUUGAAUUAUUUCGGAUAUGUCUUACAAAUUUCUAGAUGUGGAAUGAUCAGGUGAACAUUUUAAAGAACCAUUUCAUGGACAUUUUAAAGACUUGGUACAUGUUUUCAAAUUGCCUUCCAAAAAAAUUAAAUACAUACUUCCAUCAAUAUCUGUUACUUACAUGCUAACCAACACUGAAUAUUAUAAAUUUUGUUAUGAUUUUUUUUGCAAUUUUCAUAAUUGAAAAACAACUUCCUUUUACUUAAUUACUUGAUGUAUAUAUUUUCUCUUGAUGUAUUCAGUGUUUUCUUAUAGAUUUGUUAGACUUUUUAAUACAUAAAGGAUAUGAAUUCUUUGACUAUCAAA